This 454-nucleotide ribosomal RNA is filed under the name uncultured bacterium. RNAcentral's name for it is "bacterial SSU rRNA". It matches the Rfam family "Bacterial small subunit ribosomal RNA", at positions 340 to 786 of the family's 1533-position model. The record is from RNAcentral.
UACGGGGAGGCAGCAGUGGGGAAUAUUGCACAAUGGGCGCAAGCCUGAUGCAGCCAUGCCGCGUGUAUGAAAAAGGCCUUCGGGUUGUAAAGUACUUUCAGUCGUGAGGAAGGUGUUAAGGUUAAUAACCUUAGCAAUUGACGUUAGCGACAGAAGAAGCACCGGCUAACUCCGUGCCAGCAGCCGCGGUAAUACGGAGGGUGCGAGCGUUAAUCGGAAUUACUGGGCGUAAAGGGCACGCAGGCGGUUAAUUAAGUUGGAUGUGAAAUCCCCGGGCUUAACCUGGGAAUGGCAUUCAAGACUGGUUAGCUAGAGUCUUGUAGAGGGGGUAGAAUUCCAUGUGUAGCGGUGAAAUGCGUAGAGAUGUGGAGGAAUACCGGUGGCGAAGGCGGCCCCUGGACAAAGACUGACGCUCAUGUGCGAAAGCGUGGGGAGCAAACAGGGAUUAGAUACC